RNAcentral lists this transfer RNA (73 nucleotides) under Rudaeicoccus suwonensis. RNAcentral's name for it is "Dermacoccus sp. HOR6-4 tRNA". It matches the Rfam family "tRNA". From Rfam's summary of the family: Transfer RNA (tRNA) molecules are approximately 80 nucleotides in length. Their secondary structure includes four short double-helical elements and three loops (D, anti-codon, and T loops). Further hydrogen bonds mediate the characteristic L-shaped molecular structure. tRNAs have two regions of fundamental functional importance: the anti-codon, which is responsible for specific mRNA codon recognition, and the 3' end, to which the tRNAs corresponding amino acid is attached (by aminoacyl-tRNA synthetases). tRNAs cope with the degeneracy of the genetic code in two manners: having more than one tRNA (with a specific anti-codon) for a particular amino acid; and 'wobble' base-pairing, i.e. permitting non-standard base-pairing at the 3rd anti-codon position. Lineage: Bacteria; Bacillati; Actinomycetota; Actinomycetes; Micrococcales; Dermacoccaceae. RNAcentral also lists the same sequence under 3 other names. The record is from Rfam by way of RNAcentral.
GUGGGUGUAGCUCAGCUGGUAGAGCGUCGCGUUGUGGUCGCGAAUGUCGCGGGUUCAAGUCCCGUCACUCACC